Molecule: ribosomal RNA, 253 nt
Filed under: Agathobaculum desmolans
Lineage: Bacteria; Bacillati; Bacillota; Clostridia; Eubacteriales; Butyricicoccaceae
Description: partial 16S ribosomal RNA
Rfam family: Bacterial small subunit ribosomal RNA
Source: RNAcentral
UACGUAGGGAGCAAGCGUUAUCCGGAUUUACUGGGUGUAAAGGGCGCGCAGGCGGGCCGGUAAGUUGGAAGUGAAAUCUAUGGGCUUAACCCAUAAACUGCUUUCAAAACUGCUGGUCUUGAGUGAUGGAGAGGCAGGCGGAAUUCCGUGUGUAGCGGUGAAAUGCGUAGAUAUACGGAGGAACACCAGUGGCGAAGGCGGCUUACUUGACGGCAACUGACGUUGAGGCUCGAAAGCGUGGGGAGCAAACAGG